UUCGAUUAGAGUUUGAUCAUGGCUCAGAACGUACGCUGGCGGCACGCCUAACACAUGCAAGUCGAACGAAGUAGCAAUACUUAGUGGCAGACGGGUGAGUAACAUGUAGGUAUCUACCCUUUGGCCUGGAAUAACACGAGGAAACUUGUGCUAAUACCGGAUAAGUCUUUACGGAGAAAGCUUUAUGCACCAUUGGAUGAGCCUGCACUUGAUUAGUUUGUUGGUGGGGUAACGGCCUACCAAGACUGUGAUCAAUAGCUGAUUUGAGAGGAUGAUCAGCCACAUUGGGACUGAGACACGGCCCAAACUCCUACGGGAGGCAGCAGUGGGGAAUCUUGCACAAUGGAGGAAACUCUGAUGCAGCGAUGCCGCGUGAGUGAAGAAGGCCCUUGGGUUGUAAAGCUCUUUCGUCGGGGAAGAAAAUGACUGUACCCGAAUAAGAAGGUCCGGCUAACUUCGUGCCAGCAGCCGCGGUAAUACGAAGGGACCUAGCGUAGUUCGGAAUUACUGGGCUUAAAGAGUUCGUAGGUGGUUGAAAAAGUUGGUGGUGAAAUCCCAGAGCUUAACUCUGGAACUGCCAUCAAAACUUUUCAGCUAGAGUAUGAUAGAGGAAAGCAGAAUUUCUAGUGUAGAGGUGAAAUUCGUAGAUAUUAGAAAGAAUACCAAUUGCGAAGGCAGCUUUCUGGAUCAUUACUGACACUGAGGAACGAAAGCAUGGGUAGCGAAGAGGAUUAGAUACCCUCGUAGUCCAUGCCGUAAACGAUGUGUGUUAGACGUUGGAAAUUUAUUUUCAGUGUCGCAGCGAAAGCGAUAAACACACCGCCUGGGGAGUACGACCGCAAGGUUAAAACUCAAAUGAAUUGACGGGGACCCGCACAAGUAGUGGAGCAUGUGGUUUAAUUCGAAGAUACGCGCAGAACCUUACCAACACUUGACAUGUUCGUCGCGACUUUGAGAGAUCAAAGUUUUCGGUUCGGCCGGACGAAACACAGGUGCUGCAUGGCUGUCGUCAGCUCGUGUCGUGAGAUGUUGGGUUAAGUCCCGCAACGAGCGCAACCCUCACUUUUAGUUGCCAUCAUUUAGUUGGGCACUCUGAAAGAACUGCCAGUGAUAAGCUGGAGGAAGGUGGGGAUGACGUCAAGUCCUCAUGGCCCUUACGUGUUGGGCUACACACGUGCUACAAUGGUAUCUACAACAGGAAGCAAGACUGCGAAGUUAAGCAAAUCCUUAAAAGAUACCUCAGUUCGGAUUGCACUCUGCAACUCGAGUGCAUGAAGCUGGAAUUACUAGUAAUCGCAGGUCAGAAUACUGCGGUGAGUACGUUCCCGGGCCUUGUAGA
RNAcentral lists this ribosomal RNA (1339 nucleotides) under uncultured bacterium. Its description in RNAcentral is "bacterial SSU rRNA". It matches the Rfam family "Bacterial small subunit ribosomal RNA". The record is from RNAcentral.